AUUGAACGCUGGCGGCAUGCCUAACACAUGCAAGUCGCACGGAGCGGCGGACGGGUGAGUAAUGCCUAUGAAUCUGCCUGGUAGCAGGGGAUAACGUCCGGAAACGGGCGCUAAUACCGCAUACUAUCAGAUGAGCCGAGGUCGUAUUAGCUAGUUGGUGGGGUAAAGGCCUACCAAGGCGACGAUCCGUAACUGGUCUGAGAGGAUGAUCAGUCACACUGGAACUGAGACAAGGUCCAGACUCCGACGGGAGGCAGCAGUGGGGAAUAGUGGACAAUGGGCGAAAGCCUGAUCCAGCCAUGCCGCGUGUGUGAUGAAGGUCUUCGGAUUGUAAAGUACUUUAAGUUGGGAGGCGUUACAUGCAGAAUAAGCACCGGCUAACUUCGUGCCAGCAGCCGCGGUAAUUC
This 407-nucleotide ribosomal RNA is filed under the name uncultured bacterium. RNAcentral's name for it is "partial 16S ribosomal RNA". It matches the Rfam family "Bacterial small subunit ribosomal RNA", at positions 30 to 526 of the family's 1533-position model. The record is from RNAcentral.